GAUGAACGCUGGCGGCGUGCCUAAUACAUGCAAGUCGAGCGAACAGACGAGGAGCUUGCUCCUCUGACGUUAGCGGCGGACGGGUGAGUAACACGUGGAUAACCUACCUAUAAGACUGGGAUAACUUCGGGAAACCGGAGCUAAUACCGGAUAAUAUAUUGAACCGCAUGGUUCAAUAGUGAAAGACGGUUUUGCUGUCACUUAUAGAUGGAUCCGCGCCGCAUUAGCUAGUUGGUAAGGCAACGGCUUACCAAGGCAACGAUGCGUAGCCGACCUGAGAGGGUGAUCGGCCACACUGGAACUGAGACACGGUCCAGACUCCUACGGGAGGCAGCAGUAGGGAAUCUUCCGCAAUGGGCGAAAGCCUGACGGAGCAACGCCGCGUGAGUGAUGAAGGUCUUCGGAUCGUAAAACUCUGUUAUUAGGGAAGAACAAUUGUGUAAGUAACUAUGCACGUCUUGACGGUACCUAAUCAGAAAGCCACGGCUAACUACGUG
This 497-nucleotide ribosomal RNA is filed under the name uncultured bacterium. RNAcentral describes it as "partial 16S ribosomal RNA". It matches the Rfam family "Bacterial small subunit ribosomal RNA", at positions 28 to 507 of the family's 1533-position model. The record is from RNAcentral.